CCUCCCAAAGUGCUGGGAUUACAGGCGUGAGCCACUGCGCCCGGCCUGCCUUCAUGUCUUUAAAGGCAGCCAGCGGAAGGCCCCAGUCGAACACGGGACCCCAGAAGUGAGUGCUGCUCACGUAUCCCCGGAACUCCUUGCUCUGAAAGUGAUCUCUCAUCGUUCACCACGGUACCGCUACCCUCGCCAUGAUGGAAUAGCCGUAGGUGUGCCUACGGACCGACAGCCAGACCACAACGAAAUAGAGCGCAAAGCCCAGUAUCCGCAGCCAACCCUGACUGGGCGCACGCUAGCAACCUCGAGCCUUCGCGUGGCUGCCAUAAAGUGCGCCGACAGCACGUGCAGCUGUUCUGUCGGAAUGAAAGGGCAUGGUUUCACCCUGGCGCCUUCGCGUUGACUGCCGUAAAGUGCGCCGGACCGCACGUGCCGCUGUUCUGUUGGGGCGAAAGGGAGUGGCCUCACCCACGCGCCUCUGCCUGAAUGCCGUUAAAGUGCCGCGGACAGCACGUGCUCCUGUUCUACGGGGGUGCAAGGCCGUGGCUUUGCCGUCGCACCUUCAAGUAACUGCUGUAAAGUGCUCCAGACUACAUGCCGCUGUUCUGUGGGGAUGAAAGGGCGUAGCUUUGCCCUCACGCCUCUGCAUGACUGCUGUAAAGUGCUCCACAAGCACGUGCAGCGGUUCUGCCAGGGUGAAGGGGCCUGGCCUCAUCCUCGCAUGUUUGCCUGACUGCCCUAAAGUGCUCCAGACAGCACCUGCCGCUGUUCUGUGGGGGUGAAAGGGUGUGGUUUCACCCUUGGGCGGACGUGACUACUGUAAAGUGCUCUAGACAGCCUGUGCUACUGUCAUAUGUUCCUGUGGAGGUUAGGGGAGGGGCGCAGCCUCACCCUUGCACUUUUGUGCCUUCCAUGGACUGCCAUAAAGUGCAUACAGCAUGCGUGCAUGUGUGUGUCCUCUGGCAGAAGUGGAACCACAGCCUCAGCCUUCGUUCCCCACAGGGCUGCAGCCGCUUUUAAGUGCUGAGGGUUACUCGUGCCACCCGGAGAGGAGUGGGUCAGGCUACCUGCUUCUCAGCCAUGCGAAGGGAAACUACUUGUUCUGACUAGUCCCUGGACAGUGUUGACUAGAUGUUGAUACAAAAUUCCUCAACCAGGUUCAGAAUUUUAGCCCUUACAUAAUUUGCCUGAGUGUUACUUGCAGACACGGUGACAUUUCACCUUAAGAUUUUAGCAUCUGUCUCUUAAAAACAAGGAUGGACCCCUACUUAACCACAACGCAGUAAUCCACACUAUAAUAUGCAGAGCAUAUUUAAAUUUUAUAGCUUUACGGCUUUUUUUUUUUUCCUUCUUGUUGGAGGGGGAAAUCAGGAUUCAAUCAAAAUUCAAGUUUAGUUGACUCCUUUGAUUAAUAUUUAAUCUAGAAGAGUUCCCUGGCUUUUUGUGUUUCAUGACAUGGACAUUUUUGGAGUCCAAGCUUGUCGCUUUUCAGAAUGUCUUUAAGUUGGAUUUGUCUGUUUUCUUACUAGAUUUAGGUUAAACAUUUUUUGAUAAAACAACUUCACAAGAGAUGUUGUAUUCUUAGUGCAUCACAAUGCGAGGCACAUGACGUCACUUUCUUCCAGCAUUGGUGGUACUAAGUUCGGCCACUUGGUUAAGAAGUUAUCCGCGGAGAAGCUGCGAAGAUGGCGGAGUGAGGCGUGCAGCUAUUAACUGGCCUCUGGGCCGGGACCCCGGGAGGCUGAGUGCGUCUGUUGUACAGUGCGAGGAGAAGAAAAAAAGAGAUCGGCCAGAGGAAAGGAACUAACCGAACAUUCUUCCUCCCUACCUUACAGAGGGGAGUGGUCAUCUACACUAAAGCAAAGGUUCCUUAUCACAGGAAGAAAAGUUUCCUUGACCAUUAGGUGCCUUUAUAUUCAUCUCAGAAACAAAAUUCUGAACUCAGGACUUGGCAAAUUCAAUACAGAGGAGCUCCUAGGAUUCCAGUUAUCCUGCCAACUUCUCCAGGAAGAAAGAAACAACUCGCAUGGGUCUUCCGCUGUUUGCUUAAUUAUAAAGAGAUAAUUUUGCAAGCUGAAGGCUGAGUUGCAUUUGAAACAGAUGCUUAGCUGGUGGUAUUGGUGAAUACUUUUCAUUCCAAGCAAGAAGACUAAAUAAGUAGCAAGUAUGGAUGACUUCAGGGUUUAAAAAAAAAAGUCUUCCAGUUUCAACCACUACCAUGAUAAGCACAGUAGAGACUGCAGCAAGGUCAGAGACCAGAAUUCAGAGAUUCAAAACGUGAGAGGGAUUUGACGUGAAGGAUAUUCUCCAUAGCCGGCUCUGAAGGUGGAGGUGACUACAUGGCGAAAAAUGCACGCAGCUCCCAGCUGACCAAAGAAACAGAGAUCUCAGUCUUAUGACCAUAAAGAACUGAAUUCAACCAACAAUGUAGUGAGCUUGGAAGCGGGUCCCCACCUCAACUCUGAUCCUCCAGGAACUCAGCCCAGCUAACGCCUUCAUUUCAGCUGUGUGACACCCUGAGCAGAGAACCAAGUCAUGCUGUGCCCAGAAUUCUGACCUACAAAACCAUGAGCUAAUAAACAGGUAUUGUUUUCAGCCACUAA
Molecule: non-coding RNA, 2597 nt
Organism: Macaca mulatta (Rhesus monkey)
Lineage: Eukaryota; Metazoa; Chordata; Mammalia; Primates; Cercopithecidae
Source: RefSeq, a predicted model, not a curated record